Long non-coding RNA from Gallus gallus (chicken), 1802 nucleotides. The record is from Ensembl. Lineage: Eukaryota; Metazoa; Chordata; Aves; Galliformes; Phasianidae.
UGGGGCUGGGGGCGCGGCGGGCGGGAGGCGCCGAAAAUGGCGGCGGUGGGCGGCCUGUUGCCACCAAGGGGGCAGGGAUCGUGUUCCAUACGCGCUGCCUUUCUACCGCUUCCUUUCAGGAAGGAAGGAAGGAUGGAAUAAAGAAGGGUGGAAAGACAAAAGGAGUUGAAAUAACCCUGCUGUGUGGCAAAAAGAAGCUGAGCAUGCUGUGCUUUCCAUGCACUGGUAGCACUGACCUAGGGGAGACGGGUGCUCUGCGGCUCCCUACAGGUGGAACGCGAGCUGCAGCCAUUUGUCCAUUAACCACAGUUGUGUGGCAUUUCCUUGAGUCACUGAAUCAUAAGAUAUCUCGAAUUGGAUCCUCAGGGAUCACUGAGCCUACGUCCUGGCUCCACGCAGCACCACUCAAGAUUCAAACCCAGUGUCUGAUGGUGUUGUCCAAACACUUCUGGAACUUUGGCAGCUUGGAGCUCUGACCACUGCCCUGGGCAGCCUGUUCCAGGGCCUGACCUAGUGAAGAGCCUUUCCCUAACCUCCACCCUGACCUUCCCCUGAUGCAGCCCCAUGCCGUUCUCUCAGGUCCUGUCCCUGCCACUGGAGAGCAGAGCUCAGCACUGACCCUCCGCUCCCCUCAUGAGGAGCUGCAGGCUGCCAUGAGGCCUCCCCUCAGCUCCUCUGCUCUGGGCUGAACAAACCAAUGGACCUCAGUUGCUCCUCUUACGUCUCCCCCUCCAGACCCUUCACCGAUUUUGUGACAGGGUGCUGAAAGCGCAGCAAGUCCAGCAGAAGCCCACCAUGAUGGUCAGGGUGCUGGGCAUGAGAACCCACAGCAACCCCAGAUGCGAAUGACUGGACCUGCACUGGGCUGUAUGCCCCAUCAGCUGCAGGAGACCCACACCAGAUUGCACAAGAGCAAGGUGCUAUUCUUCCUCAGCUAACUGUGAAAUAGGACGACCACACUGUGCUUGCCUGUCCCCAUGAGUACCCAAAAGAAGCCAAAGCAGAACAAUAAGCUUCUGAGUAACGUAGAGUAUGGUCCCACUGCAAUGUAGGCAACUGCAAUCAUCACUGACAGCAGCAUCUACGGUCAAAUCCACAUCACUACUUGUACUGGCUACUUACUGCUGACUUUAAGCACUAUCAAAUCCAGUCGAUAUUUUUGAGCAGUGCAAGAAAGGUUAAGGCAGCACUGAAGUGCUCUGCUUUGAAAACACAUCUAGCUGGAACUGAGGCUCCUUGGGUUGCGUGUACUCCAGGAACUUUGAGGUCUCAUGUGUUCCAUUUAUCUUUGAUGUCUUUCCAUUCCUAAGUCUGUCAGUCUUGUCAAGAGAGGCAGCAUUUCGUUCUUACAGUUGCUGCAGCUUCCUUCAAGGAAUAUACACAUGUGGAUUUCUCUGAUAGAAAACAGUUUUGUCCUUAAGCAAUGAAGAACGUAGUUCUUUGGACUACUUCUCAUUCUGAAAUAAAUGACUACCAUAAAGCAUAAAGUUGCAUUUCUGAAUUCUGUAAAUGAAAGCAGUCAGCAAUAAAGCAAUGAAAGUAUUACCAUUACCAUUUUGAUCCUACUACAUAUUUCAGUUGAGUUUUGCAGCACCACAUCAUUUUACUAUGCAGUGUAUAUCCUUGUACAUCAUCAACUUUAUGUGAGAAAUCCCAACUUAAUAUCCCCUCUACAGAAGUCUGUUAACGUUGUUUGCAAAGAUUUGAAACUGCUUUUUCAGUUGAAUUUCAUAUGUUUUCAGGUAAUUUCUGUAGAACAGUAUUGGUUUCUUCUUUAUUAAAUUUUGAUAUUGUAAAAAUCA